UCGCUGGAGUCGGCUUGGUGGUUCUGCGCCUCACCCUCCCUAUCUGAGCUUCAGAACCAGAGCACAAACAGACAAACAACAAGUGUUGCCCAAAUUGGGGCUCCUGUAUAUCAGGAACAUACUGAAGCGUCGGGUGAGAACUCAGAUGCUCAGAGAAGGUAAAAAGUUUUUCUAAGUCUCCAAAACCAUGACUGUGACCUGAUGUUGUCUACUGUGAUUUCUACGUAGUCUGAUGAUCAACUUUACCCAUGCUGACCCCAAUACAGAACUCCUUGAAAUCAUUGGAAACAGAUUGACCUUACCUGUUUCUUGGAUUGUUGAUAAAAGAUAUGGAAUGAAACUUGCCCUCCAUUCCUGGAAGAUGCCUUUGCCACUGACUGUCACCAGAGGAAGAAGUGAAAGGGUACUCCUACCCCUCUUUCCCUCAAAACUUGAAAAGAUGGUGGUGCAUUGGAGGAUACUUUGCUCUGACCCACACAAUUAUUUGUGGAUCCAGGCCCACAGAGACUAUCUUCAACACGUAGCUUCUAAGGGUACACUGGAUGUCAUCCUCUACACCUGGA
This is a long non-coding RNA of Fukomys damarensis (Damara mole-rat), 563 nucleotides long. RefSeq lists it as uncharacterized. The transcript is spliced from 4 exons. NCBI's taxonomy places the organism in Eukaryota, Metazoa, Chordata, Mammalia, Rodentia, Bathyergidae. The record is from RefSeq and is a predicted model, not a curated record.